Molecule: transfer RNA, 89 nt
Filed under: Pseudomonadota bacterium
Lineage: Bacteria; Pseudomonadati; Pseudomonadota
Also listed under: 2 other names
Description: tRNA-Leu
Rfam family: tRNA
About the family: Transfer RNA (tRNA) molecules are approximately 80 nucleotides in length. Their secondary structure includes four short double-helical elements and three loops (D, anti-codon, and T loops).
Source: RNAcentral
GCCGGGGUGGCGGAACUGGCAGACGCGGCAGACUCAAAAUCUGUCGGGCUGAACAGCCCGUGUGGGUUCGACUCCCACCCCCGGCACCA